Molecule: long non-coding RNA, 231 nt
Filed under: Elaeis guineensis (African oil palm)
Lineage: Eukaryota; Viridiplantae; Streptophyta; Magnoliopsida; Arecales; Arecaceae
Description: long non-coding RNA (EGUI_LNC017726)
Source: RNAcentral
AGAUUUUAAAAUUAAUUUAUAGAUCACCAUUGCUUCCACAUAUAAAUGCAUACAAUUUUUUAAAUAAAUUAUCUUUCUUUUCAUGCCAUUUUUUAUAAGGCACAAUUCUUCUUAAAGUAUCCAUUUUUCUUAUAAAAAUGACAUUUAUCCUUAUUGUCAUCUCGCUUUAUUUGCAUACCUACUUUAUUUUUCCAAGGAAUAUCAUUAUCUUUCUUAGCAUUUCAUUUAGCA